Molecule: ribosomal RNA, 363 nt
Filed under: uncultured Rhodocyclaceae bacterium
Lineage: Bacteria; Pseudomonadati; Pseudomonadota; Betaproteobacteria; Rhodocyclales; Rhodocyclaceae
Description: partial 16S ribosomal RNA
Rfam family: Bacterial small subunit ribosomal RNA
Source: RNAcentral
CCUACGGGAGGCAGCAGUGGGGAAUUUUGGACAAUGGGCGCAAGCCUGAUCCAGCAAUGCCGCGUGCAGGAUGAAGGCCUUCGGGUUGUAAAGCUCUUUCGGCAGGAACGAAACGGCGGACUCUAACAUAGUCUGUCAAUGACGGUACCUGAAGAAGAAGCACCGGCUAACUACGUGCCAGCAGCCGCGGUAAUACGUAGGGUGCGAGCGUUAAUCGGAAUUACUGGGCGUAAAGCGUGCGCAGGCGGCUUUGUAAGACGGAUGUGAAAUCCCUGGGCUUAACCUAGGAACUGCGUUCGUGACUGCAAAGCUGGAGUGCGGCAGAGGGGGGUGGAAUUCCCGGUGUAGUGGUGAAAUGCGUAG